RNAcentral lists this ribosomal RNA (254 nucleotides) under uncultured bacterium. RNAcentral describes it as "partial 16S ribosomal RNA". It matches the Rfam family "Bacterial small subunit ribosomal RNA", at positions 524 to 776 of the family's 1533-position model. The record is from RNAcentral.
UACGUAGGGUGCGAGCGUUUAUCCGGAAUUAUUGGGCGUAAAGAGCUCGUAGGCGGUUUGUCACGUCUGCUGUGAAAACUGGAGGCUCAACCUUCAGCCUGCAGUGGGUACGGGCAGACUAGAGUGCGGUGGGGGAGAUUGGAAUUCCUGGUGUAGCGGUGGAAUGCGCAGAUAUCAGGAGGAACACCGAUGGCGAAGGCAGAUCUCUGGGCCGUUACUGACGCUGAGGAGCGAAAGCGUGGGGAGCGAACAGG